Molecule: ribosomal RNA, 376 nt
Filed under: uncultured Enterobacteriaceae bacterium
Lineage: Bacteria; Pseudomonadati; Pseudomonadota; Gammaproteobacteria; Enterobacterales; Enterobacteriaceae
Description: bacterial SSU rRNA
Rfam family: Bacterial small subunit ribosomal RNA
Source: RNAcentral
AGAUGAGAAUGUGCCUUCGGGAACCGUGAGACAGGUGCUGCAUGGCUGUCGUCAGCUCGUGUUGUGAAAUGUGGGUUAAGUCCCGCAACGAGCGCAACCUUAUCCUUGUUGCCAGCGGUCCGGCCGGGAACUCAAAGGAGACUGCCAGUGAUAAACUGGAGGAAGGUGGGGAUGGACGUCAAGUCAUCAUGGCCCUUACGACCAGGGCUACACACGUGCUACAAUGGCGCAUACAAAGAGAAGCGACCUCGCGAGAGCAAGCGGACCUCAUAAAGUGCGUCGUAGUCCGGAUUGGAGUCUGCAACUCGACUCCAUGAAGUCGGAAUCGCUAGUAAUCGUGGAUCAGAAUGCCACGGUGAAUACGUUCCCGGGCCUU